CUGGAGAACCAAACAGUGGCAGAGGCUCAGUAGCAAUACAUCUAUGUUAAAGGUAACAUCUGGUCUUUGCUCCCUUGAAGGUCAUGACUUUUCAGCCGUUACAUUACAAUGUAAAAACAGGACGUAAGGAUAUUUACUGAUUCAUUAUAUUGGAAACUGAAAGAAGCGAGAACAAGGAUAAAUAAAAUACUCCUGUCUUCACUGAAAGAAAGGAAGCUUAGCUCCUUUUCUCUACCUUCCCUGGCUUGGCUGAUACUGCUGACAAAGUUGCAUGUGCAUGUCUGGAUUUUACUGAUAUAAUUUAUGGCAGCCAGAGGAGCCCCUACCAAGCAUGGAUCUCCAGUGUAUGUGCUAGAUGGGCAAAAGCCUGCUGUAACAGUGCUACUGUUCGAAAGAUUGAAUGGUUUAAAUAUACAGGAAUCUUUCCCCAAAUAAAAAGAAGGUGAACAUCGUGGAGCAGGAUUUCUGUAUCCAGUAUCUUCAAAAUGUGCAUAGAUCUAAAACAUCUUUGUCAUACAAAUGAAAGCUAAAUUUGGAUCAUUGUAAAACAGGGGAAACUCUCAAGAAGGACUCAAGUAGGACUAGGUAAAGAUAGAGUUUGUAAGAUAUUAAAGUCAAUUCUUACUAAGACCAUGACUUUUCUGUCUUAUUUUUAUUGAAUCCUUCUCCAAGACCUUGGAUUUUUGCCAAAGAAAGAAGAAAUGUCGUCCGUAUAGUUAAAAGAAUCAUCAGACAAUUAUUUCUAGUAAACAGCAGAUUAUGUUUAAAUUACUAACCAUCAGAGGUAGAAAGUGAGGUACCUAAAGGAAUCCUCUGCAGUUAGUCUUUGUAAAAUAAAGAUCGUAUAUCCUCAAAGGCUACCAGACAGACAGACUUUGAAGAUCUUCAGGCAGUGAUCC
Long non-coding RNA from Numida meleagris (helmeted guineafowl), 899 nucleotides. RefSeq lists it as uncharacterized. Lineage: Eukaryota; Metazoa; Chordata; Aves; Galliformes; Numididae. The transcript is spliced from 4 exons. The record is from RefSeq and is a predicted model, not a curated record.